This 254-nucleotide ribosomal RNA is filed under the name uncultured bacterium. RNAcentral describes it as "partial 16S ribosomal RNA". It matches the Rfam family "Bacterial small subunit ribosomal RNA", at positions 524 to 776 of the family's 1533-position model. The record is from RNAcentral.
UACGGGGGAUGCAAGCGUUAUCCGGAUUUAUUGGGUUUAAAGGGUGCGUAGGCUGUGAGGUAAGUCAGCGGUGAAAUGCCCCCGCUCAACGGGGUGAAGUGCCAUUGAUACUGCCUUGCUGGAAUGCGGAUGCCGUGGGAGGAAUGUGUGGUGUAGCGGUGAAAUGCAUAGAUAUCACACAGAACACCGAUUGCGAAGGCGUCUCACGAAUCCGCGAUUGACGCUGAUGCACGAAAGCGUGGGUAUCAAACAGG